AAAUCAAUUUUCUCUUUUGUUCCCUCUAAUAUAAGUUAAAACCUCUCUCUCAAGUCUGUUCACUGUGCCGUUAAGUUUCACGUUCGAUUAAUAAGUUCGUCACUGAAUCUCAAUUGGAAUAAUGUGGACGUCAUUCAAACCAGAAAGUUUUUUCGAUCGGUAGAACAUUAGAACUGGUGGAAGGCAUCGAAUACCUUCACCCCUUACUUCAACUUACGCGACAUGUCGUCAAACAAAAUCCUAUGUGAUAGUCAAUUGUGAUAAAUACCUAAUAUCUAUAACGGUGUGACAAUGAACGUUCUUGGCUCUAGAACAGCAACAACAGUCAAUCGUGUACCUGAUAUGGGACAACCAACCAAGCCGCUGACCAACAGUCCACCAGUAACAAAAUCUAUGUUUCAACAUGUUAAAAUAGAACAUUUGGUGGCUGGAUUUUCAGGCGGAGUCGCGUCAACACUCAUACUUCAUCCCCUAGAUUUAUUGAAAAUUCGAUUUGCUGUCAAUGAUGGAAGAAAUGCAAUACCAAGUUAUGCUGGACUGGGAAAUGCCGUCACUACAAUAUUUAGACAAGAAGGAAUUAAAGGACUUUAUAAAGGAGUUACUCCAAAUGUUUGGGGAUCAGGGAGUGCAUGGGGUUUUUAUUUCCUAUUUUAUAAUUCAAUUAAAGCUUGGAUUCAAGGCGACAACACUAAAAAACCUUUGGGUCCAGCAUUACAUAUGACUGCAGCAGCAGAAGCAGGCAUACUCACAUUAAUGAUAACCAAUCCAGUAUGGGUAGUCAAGACUCGUUUGUGUUUGCAGUUUGAUAAACCCAAUGAUCCGAGCAAGUCGUACAGUGGCAUGUGGGAUGCAUUUCGCAAGAUAUAUGGUGCUGAGGGUGUACGAGGCCUGUACAAGGGCUUUGUUCCUGGCAUGUUUGGCGUAUCUCAUGGUGCCUUGCAGUUCAUGACUUACGAGGAGAUGAAAACUUUUUAUAAUGAAUACAGAAGAUUACCAAUUGAUGCUAAACUGGAAACAUCCGAAUACAUUGUAUUUGCUGCGUUUUCAAAAUUAAUAGCAGCUGGUUUGACAUAUCCGUAUCAAGUAAUUCGUGCGAGACUGCAAGAUCAGCACCGUGAAUACAGAGGCACUUGGCAUUGUAUAACCCAAACAUGGAGGUACGAAGGUGCUGGUGGAUUCUAUAAGGGAUUAUCGCCAUAUUUAUUACAUGUGCUUCCAAAUAUUUGUCUUGUGUUGUUGAUAUAUGAGAAAUUUACAAACAAUUAAUAUUCUAUUACUUCAAAUGAGUUUAAACGUAAACAAAACCUAUCAGUCCUUUGUUAGUUUUUUGAUUCCAAGUAUUUUUAUUUUAUUUAUAAUUAGUAUUAAUAAAAUGUUUUAUUCUUUAUGUUAAAAAUAAAAUUAUCUCUCCCUUAUAUUUAUAUGUUGAUAUAAAUAUAAAUAUGUAUAUAUUAUACACAUCAAUUGUGCAAUAUUCAAAGUUAAAAUUCUCUUAAAUACAAAAGUUAAUGACACCUGAAUAAGUUAAUAAAAAUAAAAGUUAUCAGUCUACAUUUAUUUGAUUUUUUUUCAUAUAACACGAUUAUUGCCUUUUGACAAAUACUUGACCCAUUCAAAAUUAUUUCUCUUGUAGACAGAAUUAUACUAUGACAAUACUCCUCUUAGUUGUAUGUGUAUUUUUAGAAAUAAUGUAAUAUAUGUUAUAUUUCUUUGUUUUCAAUUCUUUUAUUUCUUAACAGUUAAUCCUAGUUACUCAAAUUUAUUUUACAACUGGUAUUUUAUUUUAUUUUUAAUAUAUUAUACAAUUUCAUUCGAUGUGAUGAAGUAAAAUCAUUUUAAUUUUAUACCGUAUUAUGAUAAAGUAAUAAUUUCCAAAAGUUAUUUUUUAACAUUUGUUCUGUCGUCGCGAUACACUGAUAAUUGCAGUUAAAAUAAACUAAGUUAAAUAUUUUUAUUGUUUCUAUUGAUUUGAUUUACGUUCAAGAAAUAUUUUGUAUAAAUAUAUUCUUUUAUAUCAUGUUCAUUGUUACUAAACAUGUAAAAUAUAAAUAUAGAUCACGUGAUUAAUACAUUUGUAGUUCGUUUUAACAUGUCAUUUAACAGUGUGUUGCGGUGCUGCCAGUAGCAUAACAAAACAAUUGGUAUGAAAGAACACGAGGAUUUUAUAAAGGAAUUGGGCCAAAUCUAUUGAGAGUUAUACCAGCAACCAUCAUCACAUUUCUAGUCUAUGAAAACUUAUCUUCAUAUUUAAUUAAGUUGAAUACUAUACCU
This is an RNA transcript of Metopolophium dirhodum (rose-grain aphid), 2271 nucleotides long. It is a transcript of the gene named mitochondrial folate transporter/carrier, with no coding region annotated. The record is from RefSeq and is a predicted model, not a curated record. NCBI's taxonomy places the organism in Eukaryota, Metazoa, Arthropoda, Insecta, Hemiptera, Aphididae. The transcript is spliced from 7 exons.